This 490-nucleotide ribosomal RNA is filed under the name Macrococcus sp. RKVR_E5. RNAcentral's name for it is "bacterial SSU rRNA". It matches the Rfam family "Bacterial small subunit ribosomal RNA", at positions 1 to 484 of the family's 1533-position model. Lineage: Bacteria; Bacillati; Bacillota; Bacilli; Caryophanales; Staphylococcaceae. The record is from RNAcentral.
CCUCUAGAGUUUGAUCCUGGCUCAGGAUGAACGCUGGCGGCGUGCCUAAUACAUGCAAGUCGAGCGAACAGACGAGAGUGCUUGCACUCUCUGACGUUAGCGGCGGACGGGUGAGUAACACGUGGGUAACCUACCUAUAAGACUGGGAUAACUUCGGGAAACCGGAGCUAAUACCGGAUAAUAUUUAGCUUCGCAUGAAGCAAUAGUGAAAGACGGUUCUGCUGUCACUUAUAGAUGGACCCGCGGUGUAUUAGCUAGUUGGUGAGGUAACGGCUCACCAAGGCAACGAUACAUAGCCGACCUGAGAGGGUGAUCGGCCACACUGGGACUGAGACACGGCCCAGACUCCUACGGGAGGCAGCAGUAGGGAAUCUUCCGCAAUGGACGAAAGUCUGACGGAGCAACGCCGCGUGAGUGAAGAAGGUUUUCGGAUCGUAAAACUCUGUUGUAAGGGAAGAACAAGUACGUUAGUAACUGAACGUACCUGACC